Molecule: non-coding RNA, 30 nt
Filed under: Mus musculus (house mouse)
Lineage: Eukaryota; Metazoa; Chordata; Mammalia; Rodentia; Muridae
Source: RNAcentral
UUGAAUACCUGCCUCCACUUUAUUCUGGAA